Molecule: ribosomal RNA, 894 nt
Filed under: Triticum aestivum (bread wheat)
Lineage: Eukaryota; Viridiplantae; Streptophyta; Magnoliopsida; Poales; Poaceae
Description: partial small subunit ribosomal RNA
Source: RNAcentral
AUGGCAGCAUAUUUGGAGCAAAACAGGAGGAACAAGGGAGUAGAUGAUGAUGACAACAAUAAUGAUGUUGUGGAGGUGAAUGAAGAUGGAACAAAUGUCCCCAUUACCAAGCCAAGCUCAGGGACAGCAGCCAAGAGGAACAAGAGAGCAUUUGUUGCCAAGAUGCAAGGAAGAGGCAAGUCUACUGUUGCUUCCAACAACAAUUCAAAGCCAAUUGUUGCCAUGCUGCGAAGAACACCUGAGGAGCUUGUAGAUGAAAGACGCUCUGGGUGUUCUCAAAGCACCAUGGAGUCCAACACAAAGACUAAAGAAGAGAGAGAAUAUGUGAGUAUCCAGUGGGCAUUGUUCUUCUAUGAGUGUGGCAUUCCAUUCAAUGUUGCAAGUAGUAGACAGUUUGAGAUUGCAAUUGAAGCCUCUUGUCAAUAUGGUUCAGGUUACAAGCCUCCUAGUGCCUAUGAGCUGAGAGAGCCAUUGCUUAAUGCUUGUGUCAAGGAAACUACUACUUUGAGGAAGCAACAUGAGGCAACAUGGAAACAAUUUGGAUGCACACUCAUGUCGGAUGGCUGGUCAGAUAAAAGGGGACGCCAUUUGAUCAACUUCCUUGUUAACAGUCCGGAGGGCACUUUCUUCUUGGAGUCGAUUGAUGGCUCAAGUGAAUCACACAAUGCUCAAAUGAUUGCUGAUCUGCUGGAGAAGAGAAUUAUGGAAAUUGGGAAAGAAAAUGUUGUGCAAGUUGUCACCGACAAUGGUGCCAACUACAAGGCAGCAGGCCACCUUCUAGAGUUGAGGUUCCCUACACUAUAUUGGAGUCCUUGUGCAUGUCAUUGCUUGGAUCUAAUGCUAGAAGACAUAGGAAAGCUGAAGGCAUUCAAGAAGCCUAUUGCACGGGCUUGA